GACCCGCGCCGAAUUGGCGGCGCGGAAGAGCUAGUGGAGCUGUGAGC
RNAcentral lists this non-coding RNA (47 nucleotides) under unclassified sequences. RNAcentral's name for it is "gut-2 RNA". It matches the Rfam family "gut-2 RNA". From Rfam's summary of the family: gut metagenomes. Environment (Cow rumen (57)) The record is from Rfam by way of RNAcentral.